GUUUGGACGAGGGGCCCCUCUCGGGUUACCGAAUUCAGACAAACUCCGAAUGCCAAUUAAUUUAACUUGGGAGUCAGAACAUGGGUGAUAAGGUCCGUGUUCGAAAGGGAAACAGCCCAGACCACCAGCUAAGGUCCCAAAAUAUAUGUUAAGUGGAAAAGGAUGUGGCGUUGCCCAGACAACUAGGAUGUUGGCUUAGAAGCAGCCAUCAUUUAAAGAGUGCGUAAUAGCUCACUAGUCGAGUGACACUGCGCCGAAAAUGUACCGGGGCUAAACAUAUUACCGAAGCUGUGGAUUGUCCUUUGGACAAUGGUAGGAGAGCGUUCUAAGGGCGUUGAAGCAUGAUCGUAAGGACAUGUGGAGCGCUUAGAAGUGAGAAUGCCGGUGUGAGUAGCGAAAGACGGGUGAGAAUCCCGUCCACCGAUUGACUAAGGUUUCCAGAGGAAGGCUCGUCCGCUCUGGGUUAGUCGGGUCCUAAGCUGAGGCCGACAGGCGUAGGCGAUGGAUAACAGGUUGAUAUUCCUGUACCACCUAUAAUCGUUUUAAUCGAUGGGGGGACGCAGUAGGAUAGGCGAAGCGUGCGAUUGGAUUGCACGUCUAAGCAGUAAGGCUGAGUAUUAGGCAAAUCCGGUACUCAUUAAGGCUGAGCUGUGAUGGGGAGAAGACAUUGUGUCUUCGAGUCGUUGAUUUCACACUGCCGAGAAAAGCCUCUAGAUAGAAAAUAGGUGCCCGUACCGCAAACCGACACAGGUAGUCAAGAUGAGAAUUCUAAGGUGAGCGAGCGAACUCUCGUUAAGGAACUCGGCAAAAUGACCCCGUAACUUCGGGAGAAGGGGUGCUCUUUAGGGUUAACGCCCAGAAGAGCCGCAGUGAAUAGGCCCAAGCGACUGUUUAUCAAAAACACAGGUCUCUGCUAAACCGUAAGGUGAUGUAUAGGGGCUGACGCCUGCCCGGUGCUGGAAGGUUAAGAGGAGUGGUUAGCUUCUGCGAAGCUACGAAUCGAAGCCCCAGUAAACGGCGGCCGUAACUAUAACGGUCCUAAGGUAGCGAAAUUCCUUGUCGGGUAAGUUCCGACCCGCACGAAAGGCGUAACGAUUUGGGCACUGUCUCAACGAGAGACUCGGUGAAAUCAUAGUACCUGUGAAGAUGCAGGUUACCCGCGACAGGACGGAAAGACCCCGUGGAGCUUUACUGUAGCCUGAUAUUGAAAUUCGGCACAGCUUGUACAGGAUAGGUAGGAGCCUUUGAAACGUGAGCGCUAGCUUACGUGGAGGCGCUGGUGGGAUACUACCCUAGCUGUGUUGGCUUUCUAACCCGCACCACUUAUCGUGGUGGGAGACAGUGUCAGGCGGGCAGUUUGACUGGGGCGGUCGCCUCCUAAAAGGUAACGGAGGCGCUCAAAGGUUCCCUCAGAAUGGUUGGAAAUCAUUCAUAGAGUGUAAAGGCAUAAGGGAGCUUGACUGCGAGACCUACAAGUCGAGCAGGGUCGAAAGACGGACUUAGUGAUCCGGUGGUUCCGCAUGGAAGGGCCAUCGCUCAACGGAUAAAAGCUACCCCGGGGAUAACAGGCUUAUCUCCCCCAAGAGUU
This 1588-nucleotide ribosomal RNA is filed under the name Staphylococcus aureus. RNAcentral's name for it is "partial 23S ribosomal RNA". It matches the Rfam family "Bacterial large subunit ribosomal RNA", at positions 912 to 2500 of the family's 2925-position model. The record is from RNAcentral. Lineage: Bacteria; Bacillati; Bacillota; Bacilli; Caryophanales; Staphylococcaceae.